GCGUGAGUGAAGAAGGCCUUAGGGUUGUAAAGCUCUUUCGCUAGGGAAGAUAAUGACGGUACCUAGUAAAGAAGUCCCGGCUAACUCCGUGCCAGCAGCCGCGGUAAUACGGAGGGGACUAGCGUUGUUCGGAAUUACUGGGCGUAAAGAGUACGUAGGCGGCUACGCAAGUUGGGUGUGAAAGCCCGGGGCUCAACCCCGGAACUGCACUCAAAACUGUUUAGCUAGAGUUCGGAAGAGGUAAGUGGAAUUCCCAGUGUAGAGGUGAAAUUCGU
Molecule: ribosomal RNA, 275 nt
Filed under: uncultured bacterium
Lineage: Bacteria
Description: partial 16S ribosomal RNA
Rfam family: Bacterial small subunit ribosomal RNA
Source: RNAcentral